UUCAUCUGUGCGUCCAGAAGGGGUGGAGCCUGGCCGCACCUCUCUUAGACCUCAUUUAAGGGCUGACUGCCACUAGGGAAGGCUGUUUUUCUAGAGAUCCUUUAUCCUCUCCCCAACAAACACUUUUGGAGGAGCUUUCAUGUACCAACCUAGUGUCUUCUUAUACAGGUUUCCUGUUAUGGGAUCCACAUAUGAAAAGAUAGAGGCAUGGGUUGAAUGUCCUUGCUGUACACAGAAAAAUAUUCCCAGCCAGAGAAUACAAACAACAGCAUCACAAAUUUAGAGCAUGGAAGAGGCCACCUGACCCAAAUUUUGCUUUGCCAUUCUGCUUGUGGCAGAAGAACAAAGGUUGUUAAAUACUUAAUUACCCGGAUGGUACACAUGGCUGAUGGAUUGACUUGGAUCAACGCAGUUGUAAUUAUUUCACCACAGUGUGGCUGACUAAGAUGGAUACUUGGACUUCACUCAAUGGUUUUCAACAUUCCACCAGAAAUAAACAGAGCACAGACUAUUCUCAAUAUGUUUAUGCAUCACUAACUUAUAUUAGUUUUGGAAACUGUGAAAUUUAUGCCAAUUGUUUGUAAAACAGAGUACAGUUUUGAUUUUUUUUUUCUUGUCCCGCAGCCCAGAAUCAAUAUGUGUACAAUUUCCAUCCUCCUUACAUUACGUACUAUUCCUAAGAGCUGAGGCCAAGAAAUAAAUUGACCUAAUUCUUUUUCUCCAUCAAAAUUGUGGGUUAUCCUGUCCCUUCUACAUGGAUUUUGCAGAAAAAAAUUAAGACAUAAAUCCAGGUCUCAGUUUCUUUGGACAAAUAUACACAGAAUCAAAAGUUUGGCUAAGAGCAAAGCAGGUGAAGACACUGACACAAAAUUUGAAUUCAUAUGCUAAUAUAUUUCUACAAAACCUAGAAAUAGGUGGGCACAUGUAAGCUCCAGCUCCAGUGCAAUGCCUGACUACAGGUUGGCUCAUAGGAACAGUGCUAUACUAAUGACAAUAAAUGUCUCCCAAUCAGGAAUCAGUCAUGUAGAACCAGCUCACGGGUCCAGCAAAUGACAGAGCUAUUGUAUGUGAGCAUUUCUAAAUCCUUGUCUGCAUUUAGUUCUCUUUUAGAAGUACCCUCUAGAAGCAAUGGUAGGGAUACUGGAAAAGACAUGAAAACAUUGAUCUUUGUCCCUCCUUCCCUCCAUGUCUUCCAACCUUUGGUCUGAAAAGGAUGAUGAAAGUCCUGUUACGUUGUGGAUACCGAUGUCUUCACUGUGGCAACCAGCAGGACAGAUGUUACAGUGCUGUUUGAUGGCAGCACAAUUAAAGAAAAUAUUUGACAUGGAUGUGACCACAGAACUACAGCAAGCUGUGAAGUACAGGCUAGAGUUCAUUAAAAAGUCUUUACAUUUUUCAGCCUUGUGGUAAUUUUUUUUUUUUUUUAAUGAAGCACAUACAGAUUAAAGAUUAAUGAAAUUGAAGCUAUUUUUCUAAAAAUGCUUUUUGUGUAUUAGUUUAAGUAAGGAAAAACAUUAAUUUCCUGAAACAUGUCAAUGAAUUCCUGACAUAGGAAGCCCAGUCAUCUCUGCUUUGAAGACUGUUUUCUUAAUUGAUUCAUUUUAUGUAAUCUGAAUGAGGCCUAACAUAACUCUCACAUCUACAGGCCACUCCAAACAAGGCUAUUGUUCAAUGUCACAUGAAUAAAUAAUUUCCAUAUAGUGGUUUUCUA
This is a long non-coding RNA of Gallus gallus (chicken), 1711 nucleotides long. RefSeq lists it as uncharacterized. Lineage: Eukaryota; Metazoa; Chordata; Aves; Galliformes; Phasianidae. The transcript has 3 exons. The record is from RefSeq and is a predicted model, not a curated record.